UACGGGGGGAGCAAGCGUUGUUCGGAUUUACUGGGCGUAAAGGGCGCGUAGGCGGUCGUGACAAGUCACUUGUGAAAUCUCCGGGCUUAACUCGGAACGGUCAAGUGAUACUGUCGGACUAGAGUACAGAAGGGGCAACUGGAAUUCUCGGUGUAGCGGUGAACUGCGUAGAUAUCGAGAGGAACACCUGCGGCGAAGGCGGGUUGCUGGGCUGAUACUGACGCUGAGGCGCGAAAGCCAGGGGAGCGAACGGG
Molecule: ribosomal RNA, 254 nt
Filed under: uncultured bacterium
Lineage: Bacteria
Description: partial 16S ribosomal RNA
Rfam family: Bacterial small subunit ribosomal RNA
Source: RNAcentral